RNAcentral lists this ribosomal RNA (403 nucleotides) under uncultured bacterium. RNAcentral describes it as "bacterial SSU rRNA". It matches the Rfam family "Bacterial small subunit ribosomal RNA", at positions 976 to 1380 of the family's 1533-position model. The record is from RNAcentral.
CGGGCUUGAACUGCUGAGGACCGGCCGAGAGAUCGGCUUUCCCUUCGGGGUCUCAGUGGAGGUGCUGCAUGGUUGUCGUCAGCUCGUGCCGUGAGGUGUCGGCUUAAGUGCCAUAACGAGCGCAACCCUUGCCCGCAGUUGCCAUCACCUUGGGUGGGCACUCUGCGGGGACUGCCAUCGCAAGAUGCGAGGAAGGUGGGGAUGACGUCAAAUCAGCACGGCCCUUACGUCCGGGGCUACACACGUGUUACAAUGGGGGGUACAGAAGGCAGCUUGCGGGCGACCGCCGGCGAAUCCCCAAACCCCCUCUCAGUUCGGACUGGAGUCUGCAACCCGACUCCACGAAGCUGGAUUCGCUAGUAAUCGCGCAUCAGCCAUGGCGCGGUGAAUACGUUCCCGGGCC